RNAcentral lists this ribosomal RNA (467 nucleotides) under uncultured bacterium. RNAcentral's name for it is "partial 16S ribosomal RNA". It matches the Rfam family "Bacterial small subunit ribosomal RNA", at positions 28 to 507 of the family's 1533-position model. The record is from RNAcentral.
GAUGAACGCUGACAGAAUGCUUAACACAUGCAAGUCAACUUGAAUUUGGGUUUUUAACUUAGGUUUGGGUGGCGGACGGGUGAGUAACGCGUAAAGAACUUGCCUCACAGCUAGGGACAACAUUUGGAAACGAAUGCUAAUACCUAAUAUUAUGAUAAUAGGGCAUCCUAUAAUUAUGAAAGCUAUAAGCGCUGUGAGAGAGCUUUGCGUCCCAUUAGCUAGUUGGAGAGGUAACGGCUCACCAAGGCGAUGAUGGGUAGCCGGCCUGAGAGGGUGAUCGGCCACAAGGGGACUGAGACACGGCCCUUACUCAUACGGGAGGCAGCAGUGGGGAAUAUUGGACAAUGGACCAAGAGUCUGAUCCAGCAAUUCUGUGUGCACGAUGAAGUUUUUCGGAAUGUAAAGUGCUUUCAGUUGGGAAGAAAGAAAUGACGGUACCAACAGAAGAAGUGACGGCUAAAUACGUG